CGUUAAAAUCAGAAGACCAUUUAUAGAAUAAGGGACAGAUAAUUGCCCUUUUAAGAUGAUGUAUAUAGAAGACCCUUAGCAUUUGAAGAAUUAAAUUUGUGACUGCUGUGCAUUUAGACUGUGACCUCAUGAUCUAUGAUCUUUUAUCUGUUGAGACCUAAAUUUGAACCUUGAGUACUUCCAGCCUGGCACAUAGAAACAAGUGUCUUAGCUCUAAGUGACUACUAUGUAUCAUCUACUCAAUUGUGCUUGGCUGUUUUACUACACUAGUUAGGUUAAUGCUCCCCAAUGAUUAAAAACCAUAUUUUCUUUUCCAGGGAGAAAAAAAAGGCAAGUUUCAACUAGAAAGCUUAUUCUUGGGUGUGAGGGAUGGAAGCCAGCUCAGAAAGUUACGGCAUUUUUGAAUAUGAAUGUUCAUCAGAGUUCUAGGAAACAGCUAUUAUAAAUAGAAAUGUCUGCACCAUUUACUGAGACCUCUGCACUUAGUACUGAGUGGAGGAGAAGAGGCCACACCAAGGAAGCUUAAGUUCAGAGAAACUUGGCCUAAGCAUACAUGAAGAGGUUUGAGCUGAAGGAUUUAGCUAUGUCCAGGAAACAUUUGUGCCAGCAGAGAUUAUUUUUGGAGAAAGAACAGACCAAGGCAGUGAAGCAGCAGUGAGGACUUUUGCAUGAGAUGGUCAUCACUCAAACACAGUGCCCAGAUACUGCAAGAGAGGAGUGGAUAUGACCCAAAGAAGUGAUGUGAGUACACAAGACAGAUUUUGGGAUAGGAGAGAGGGAAGUGUCAAGGCCUCUCUGGCAUGGGUAACCAGGUGAAUGGAUGGUGCUAAUCACUGCGGCAGGGAAUUGAGAGAGUAGAGCAGAUUUGGGUGAGAAUAGCCUAAUCCCCAUGCAGGACUACCCCCAGAGAGCUGGGAACAAUCAUGCAAUUGCAUAACCUCCGAACUCUUGAUAAAAAGAUAAAACUUUGUAUUCACUUGUGUCAAAUCCACAUCAUUGCUGAAAGGAAAGUUAGACAAUAAAUAUUUGUUAAAGUACUGUUGUGUGUAUUGC
Molecule: long non-coding RNA, 1053 nt
Filed under: Vulpes vulpes (red fox)
Lineage: Eukaryota; Metazoa; Chordata; Mammalia; Carnivora; Canidae
Description: lncRNA (ENSVVUG00000020945.1)
Source: RNAcentral